ACGGUAGGAGAAGAAUAAGAAGCAGCAAACUACGUGCCAGCAGCUGCGGUAAUACGUAGGCUUCAAGCGUUAUCCGGAAUUACUGGGUGUAAAGCGUCUGUAGGCGGCAGAGUAAGUUUGGCAUGAAAGACCGGGGCUUAACCCCGUGUUUGUGUCGAAAACUGCUCAGCUAGAAUCUGGGAGAGGGAAGCAGAAUGAUGUGAGUAGGGGUGCAAUCCGUUGAUACACAUCAGAAUACCAAAAGCGAAGGCAGCUUCCUGGAACAGUAUUGACGCUCAGAGACGAAAGCGUGGGGAGCGAAAAGGAUUAGAUACCCUUGUAGUCCACGCCCUAAACGAUGAUGACUAGGUGUCGGCGUAAGCCGGUGCUAUAAGCUAACGCGUUAAGUCAUCCACCUGAGGAGUACGGCCGCAAGGUUAAAACUCAAAUGAAUAGACGGGGACCCACACAAGCAGUGGAUCAUGUGGUUUAAUUCGACAAUAAACGAGGGACCUUACCCAGGCUUGACAUCCCGAGAAGUCCGAUGAAAGUUGGAUGUGCCCGCAAGG
Molecule: ribosomal RNA, 548 nt
Filed under: uncultured bacterium
Lineage: Bacteria
Description: bacterial SSU rRNA
Rfam family: Bacterial small subunit ribosomal RNA
Source: RNAcentral